AGGACGAACGCUGGCGGCGUGCUUAACACAUGCAAGUCGAGCGGAAAGGCCCUUCGGGGUACUCGAGCGGCGAACGGGUGAGUAACACGUGAGCAAUCUGCCCCUAGCUUCGGGAUAGCUCCGGGAAACCGGAAUUAAUACCGAAUAUGACCCCGGCCGACAUCGGCUGUGGUGGAAAACUUUUGCGGCUAGGGAUGAGCUCGCGGCCUAUCAGCUUGUUGGUGGGGUAAUGGCCUACCAAGGCGACGACGGGUAGCCGGCCUGAGAGGGCGACCGGCCACACUGGGACUGAGACACGGCCCAGACUCCUACGGGAGGCAGCAGUGGGGAAUCUUGCGCAAUGGGCGAAAGCCUGACGCAGCGACGCCGCGUGCGGGAUGAAGGCCUUCGGGUUGUAACCGCUUUCAGCAGGGACGAAACGACGGUACCUGCAGAAGAAGCGCCGGCUAACUACGUGCCAGCAGCCGC
Molecule: ribosomal RNA, 468 nt
Filed under: uncultured bacterium
Lineage: Bacteria
Description: SSU rRNA
Rfam family: Bacterial small subunit ribosomal RNA
Source: RNAcentral